AUCGGGUGUUCCCGACUCUGUUCUGCCGCAGAUGGGAACAUAUUGGACAACUCUCUUUAGACGGUUUAAUAUCUUCUAAAAAUAACUGUCACGGUUUGUCUCCUCAAAGACGAAGAGCGGCUUUGCACUUUGGUAAAAAAAGGACUUGGAGUUGCGGUGACGACAUUAGAAGAGCUAUUAACGAGACUUAAUGAGGACAACAGAGAGCUCCAUCACGAAGUAAAGGGGGUAAAUACUUGAUCCCCUGGUGCUUCUGCAAGGUGGAGAUGGCAACAGUCUGCUCUCCCCCUGAUGAAUGGGGCCAUGUGCUGUAGAAUAUUGGAUGGCAACCUCCUGGCCGCAGCCGGAACACUGAAGACGGGUCGUGGAUGGGUCUCCCAGCAGGACAAUGACCCAGAAUAUCUGGCCAAAGCAACAAAGGGGUGGGUCAAGAAGAAGCACGUCAAGAUCCUGCCGUGUCCUCGCCAGUCUCCAGACAUUAACGCCAUUGAAAAUCUGCAGAGGGAGCUGAGAUUUUGCGUUGCCAAACACCUAAAAAACACUCUCCUGUUCGAUCCGGCCCUUUUACCAGGACGGGACCACCCAGGUUCUUGAAUUUUUUUCAACUGCGAAAUAACUCAUCUUGAGUUCAAAAGUAAGUUUAAUGAUUGAUUCUAUUUGGAGUGAAUACAAGCGAUUGUAAUGCCAGCACUGGAGAGAACGGUCAGCCACCCAGUCUAGCAAGGUCCGAGUAGUCUGUAAACAGAAUUCCACUUCCUCGUAAGCCUUUUGUGGAGGCGGUCCUAUUCAUUAAGAAACUUCCCGUUUACUGUUUGCUGGUGUAUUAUCUGAUCUAGUUUCAAACAGUCCUGGCUUGGUGGCUAGACGUCUCAGCCAGGAGACAGUAAGGUGACUCCUAAUGAAACUAUAUGUCUGUGUGUGUUUGUUCCAAGUG
This is a long non-coding RNA of Dunckerocampus dactyliophorus (ringed pipefish), 934 nucleotides long. RefSeq lists it as uncharacterized. The transcript is spliced from 4 exons. The record is from RefSeq and is a predicted model, not a curated record. Lineage: Eukaryota; Metazoa; Chordata; Actinopteri; Syngnathiformes; Syngnathidae.